ACGAAGGGGGCUAGCGUUGUUCGGAAUCACUGGGCGUAAAGCGCACGUAGGCGGAUUGAUUAGUCGAGGGUGAAAUCCCGGGGCUCAACCUCGGAACUCCCUACGAUACUGUCAGUCUCGAGUCCGGGGGAGGUGAGUGGAAUUCCUAGUGUAGAGGUGAAAUGCGUAGAUAUUAGGAAGACCACCAGUGGGGGAGGCGGCUCACUGGCCCGGUACUGACGCUCAGGUGCGAAAGCGUGGGGAGCAAACAG
This 251-nucleotide ribosomal RNA is filed under the name uncultured prokaryote. RNAcentral's name for it is "partial 16S rRNA". It matches the Rfam family "Bacterial small subunit ribosomal RNA", at positions 525 to 775 of the family's 1533-position model. The record is from RNAcentral.